RNAcentral lists this ribosomal RNA (516 nucleotides) under uncultured bacterium. RNAcentral's name for it is "bacterial SSU rRNA". It matches the Rfam family "Bacterial small subunit ribosomal RNA", at positions 8 to 502 of the family's 1533-position model. The record is from RNAcentral.
AGAGUUUGAUCCUGGCUCAGAACGAACGCUGGCGGCGUGCUUAACACAUGCAAGUCGAACGCGAACGAGUUCUUCGGAACUUUAGUAGAGUGGCGCACGGGUGAGUAACGCGUAAGUAAUCUACCCUCGCAUCCGGGAUAACCCACCGAAAGGUGUGCUAAUACCUGAUACGUCUGAAUUAAUAUCUUUUUUUCAGAGAAAGAUGGCCUCUUCAUGAAAGCUAUUGUGCGGGGAGGAGCUUGCGUACCAUUAGCUAGUUGGUAGGGUAAAGGCCUACCAAGGCAAUGAUGGUUAGCGGGUCUGAGAGGAUGAUCAGCCACACUGGAACUGAGACACGGUCCAGACUCCUACGGGAGGCAGCAGUGGGGAAUAUUGCGCAAUGGGGGAAACCCUGACGCAGUGACGCCGUGUGAGUGAUGAAGGUUUUCGGAUCGUAAAGCUCUGUCAGAUGGGAAGAAUAAAGGCAGGGAAAAUAUUUCUGCCUGAUGACGUACCAUCAGAGAAGCACCGCUAACU